UACGAAGGGGGCUAGCGUUGUUCGGAAUUACUGGGCGUAAAGCGCGCGUAGGCGGACGCUUAAGUCAGGGGUGAAAUGCCGGGGCUCAACCCCGGAACGGCCUUUGAUACUGGACGUCUGGAGAUCGGGAGAGGUUGGUGGAAUUCCGAGUGUAGAGGUGAAAUUCGUAGAUAUUCGGAGGAACACCAGAAGCGAAGGCGGCCAACUGGCCCGAUACUGACGCUGAGGCGCGAAAGCGUGGGGAGCAAACAGGAUUAGAAACCCCAGUAGUCC
RNAcentral lists this ribosomal RNA (273 nucleotides) under uncultured bacterium. RNAcentral describes it as "partial 16S ribosomal RNA". It matches the Rfam family "Bacterial small subunit ribosomal RNA", at positions 524 to 796 of the family's 1533-position model. The record is from RNAcentral.